GGGUGAGUAAUAUAUCGGAACGUGCCCAGUCGUGGGGGAUAACGCAGCGAAAGCUGUGCUAAUACCGCAUACGAUCUCUGGAUGAAAGCGGGGGACUCGCAAGAGCCUCGCGCGAUUGGAGCGGCCGAUAUCAGAUAAGCUAGUUGGCGGGGUAAAAGCCCACCAAGGCGACGAUCUGUAGCUGGUCUGAGAGGACGACCAGCCACACUGGAACUGAGACACGGUCCAGACUCCUACGGGAGGCAGCAGUGGGGAAUUUUGGACAAUGGGCGAAAGCCUGAUCAAGCAAUGCCGCGUGCAGGAUGAAGGCCUUCGGGUUGUAAACUGCUUUUGUACGGAACGAAACGGUCUGCCUUAAUACGGUGGGCUAAUGACGGUACCGUAAGAAUAAGCACCGGCUAACUACGUGCCAGCAGCCGCGGUAAUACGUAGGGUGCGAGCGUUAAUCGGAAUUACUGGGCGUAAAGCGUGCGCAGGCGGUUAUAUAAGACAGAUGUGAAAUCCCCGGGCUCAACCUGGGACCUGCAUUUGUGACUGUAUAGCUAGAGUACGGUAGAGGGGGAUGGAAUUCCGCGUGUAGCAGUGAAAUGCGUAGAUAUGCGGAGGAACACCGAUGGCGAAGGCAAUCCCCUGGACCUGUACUGACGC
This 648-nucleotide ribosomal RNA is filed under the name uncultured bacterium. Its description in RNAcentral is "bacterial SSU rRNA". It matches the Rfam family "Bacterial small subunit ribosomal RNA", at positions 104 to 746 of the family's 1533-position model. The record is from RNAcentral.